Molecule: ribosomal RNA, 497 nt
Filed under: uncultured bacterium
Lineage: Bacteria
Description: partial 16S ribosomal RNA
Rfam family: Bacterial small subunit ribosomal RNA
Source: RNAcentral
GAUGAACGCUGGCGGCGUGCCUAAUACAUGCAAGUCGAGCGAACAGACGAGGAGCUUGCUCCUCUGACGUUAGCGGCGGACGGGUGAGUAACACGUGGUUAACCUACCUAUAAGACUGGGAUAACUUCGGGAAACCGUAGCUAAUACCGGAUAAUAUAUUGAACCGCAUGGUUCAAUAGUGAAAGACGGUUUUGCUGUCACUUAUAGAUGGAUCCGCGCCGCAUUAGCUAGUUGGUAAGGUAACGGCUUACCAAGGCAACGAUGCGUAGCCGACCUGAGAGGGUCAUCGGCCACACUGGAACUGAGACAGGGUCCAGACUCCUACGGGAGGCAGCAGUAGGGAAUCUUACGCAAUGGGGGAAAGCCUGACGGAGCAACGCCGCGUGAGUGAUGAAGGUCUUCGGAUCGUAAAACUAUGUUAUCAGGGAAGAACAAAUGUGUAAGUAACUAUGAACGUCUUGACGGUACCUAAUCAGAAAGCCACGGCUAACUCCGUG